RNAcentral lists this ribosomal RNA (253 nucleotides) under uncultured bacterium. RNAcentral's name for it is "partial 16S ribosomal RNA". It matches the Rfam family "Bacterial small subunit ribosomal RNA", at positions 524 to 776 of the family's 1533-position model. The record is from RNAcentral.
UACGGAGGGUGCAAGCGUUAAUCGGAAUUACUGGGCGUAAAGCGCGCGUAGGUGGUCUGUUAAGUCGGAUGUGAAAGCCCCGGGCUCAACCUGGGAACUGCAUCCGAUACUGGCAGACUAGAGUGUGGUAGAGGGAGGUAGAAUUUCCUGUGUAGCGGUGAAAUGCGUAGAUAUAGGAAGGAAUACCGAUGGCGAAGGCAGCCUCCUGGCUCGACAUUGACGCUGAGGUGCGAAAGUGUGGGGAGCAAACAGG